CAGUUCUACCGGCAUUCUGUUCGAACUCAAACAUCGGACACGAGCAUUUCGACCGAACUUUGGAACCGAACAUUUAACAACGAACGUGUGCUAAUCGAACAUCGAACUCAAUGUUCGAUCCCAUCUGCAACGAAGAUUUCUCAAAAUUCUCGCCCUUCAAACGUUAUACGUACCCGGUUUGUUGGACUGUUCGGAGGUGUAUAGUAGCAAGGUGGUUAUUUAACGCGAGUUAACCGAAUAAAUACAGUGGAGAAAAAAGAAAUACCGCGAAAUAGUCAUAGCCAGCAAAUGAAGAGCCGAAAGCGCUGUGAGACGCCCAAAGUUUGUAAUUAAACGCAAGUGGAGAAGCAAUGAAAAAUAUUAGUGUUAAGAAAGAAAAAUAAAUGAAAUAAGCAACAACAGAAUCAAUGCAUGAAAUAUAAGCGAGGAAGCACGAAGUGAGUAAAUAAAAUCAAAGAAGCGCAGCGACGCGCGUUAGCUAGUGAAGAUUGUGUUUUGUUUUUGAAGGCGGGCAAAAAAUAAAAGUUGAGAAGAGAGAAAAAUUAUUUAUGUGCCCAAUGUUUAUCGUUGAUUGAAAAUAUGUUGCUAUUAAAGGUGCAAAGUUCAGCGCAAAUGAAAUUUUGUGUGAAUUAAUGAUUUCAUGUUACAACGCUGUGUUUUGUUGUAUUUUUGGUUGCUGUGCAACAGUGUGCUCAGUGUUGUCAGCGGUUUGACCAGCUUCUUUGGCCUUAAACCUUUUGUGUUUUUGUUAGCGCGUUGUGUUGUUGCGGUCUAGUGUACGAUUAUGUAACUUUUUUCCCAAGCGUUUACAGUCUUCUUGCGAGCGAGCGCCUAAUAAUAAUCAAAGCAGGCAAGAGAAUACAAAUAAAAUACUAAAGAUAAAGCAAGCGAUUAAUGAUUGCGCGUUCUGCAAGUAUUCGUGUAAAUUUUGUGAUUUUGUAAAAGUGAUUGAAUGUCUAUGCGCGAAGUGGGAACAAGUGAAUCACAACAAAAAUCAGCUGCUGAUCAAUAAAGACAUCAGGUAUAUCGUCGCGCGCUAUUUAUAGCGUUGGCCAGGAAGGCCGGCAAAAUUAAGCAUUCUAUUAAGAUUUUGUAAGCGUUUCGCUUAAUGUGUCAUUUCGCACAUGAAACGCGACAAGCAUCUACGCGCGUUCAUAUAAAGUUCAAAUUAAACGCGUCGCGCGGUUAGCCAAAGAAACGUGCCAAACAAAGCAAACUGCAAAAAUAAAACCAUAAAGUUCGUGAAAAAGCAAUCAGACAACAGCGCUACGAUCAAGUGCAAAUAAAUAGAAAGAAAGGUGACCGCGCUGUUUGUUUGCCGUUCGUACGCUUGAGCGCUGCUUAUGCCGUCUGCAGACGCGCCGCAACGCGUUACUCCGCAGCCUAUACCUGUGCCGGUUGCUAACAAUCAAGCAAGAAAAUAAACAUAUAAACGAUUAAUUCUUAACGCGCGUUCCUCACUUUUGUAUCUUUUGCCCGAUUUAUCGCUUGUAUUGACAAAUUGCCGUUUAUUAGUCGUGUUUUUGUGGCGGUCGUCGAACGCGUUGCUCAAAUUUAAUUAGACGCGCACUUAAGUAAAUAAACGCGUUUGUGCGCGCGGUGGAAAGACAGAAAGUGUUAGACGCGCAGCGCGGCAGGCGCGUUCCUAAAAGCUUGAGCGCUUGGUCAAUUGGACGUGCACGAUUUACGCGCAGUUGUGUGAGACGUUUGGUAGCGUGGUUAAACCGACAUCGCGAAUAUAAGGGCACGCAAAUUAAGAGUUCGACAGUUGGAAUACGAUUUUCUAUGUGAAAAAAUUACUCUUAAUUUAUCAAGGCGGUGAAAAUUGUGAUUUUUCCCAAAUUAUCUAAAUGCUUUGGCUCUCACUUGUACACUCAGCGCAUUGCCGCACCGUGAUCGUUUCAACUAAAUUUAACUUCUCUAUUGACAAGUGUGUGCGGAAGCGUUUCGAUUCUAUCACACAAUGCGACAACCUGUCAGCAGCGUGAGUUUCAUUCUUAGCCAAGCGCUUGCAAUAAGAGGCAGUCAGCUGUUUAGUUAAAGACACACGUACUAUACAUACAUACAUAGUAUGUUGAUAUAAGAAGGAGAGCAACAAAGUGUGCGGCGCUAAAAAUAAACGCAAGUGCACCAUUCUAAAAGCAAAAAGAUAAUCGAAAGAAAGUGAGGCAAAGUGAAAAAACGCUUGGCGCUGAUUUAUGCCACAAUUAGCGGCGAGCUGCGUCGGCUUAUAUGUAUAAAAAGUGUUGACAAUAACACAACGCUUGAACACAUUUGUGAGACGUGCAACCGCAGGUGGCAAGUUGUGAUAUAAAGAAUGCGCGCAUUGUUAUUCAAUAAAAAGUGAUACUUAUUGUUGUAACGAUAAUUUUUGUUGUGAAAAUAUUUUUGUUAUUAGAAUAAAUCAUAAUAUAUAUAUUUAGCACAUACGUAUAUGGCCAUUUAAUCGGCGUUCGUGCAAAAUCAAAGUGUUUUAUUGUGAAAUUAAAUUCUAAUUAAAUCUAUUAAUUGGCCAAAAUGUUUUCUUACGCAAAAAUUUUCUAAAAUCGGUUAUUUUAUUUUUCUAGUUGCUAUUGUUUUUUGCAGUUUUGUGCUGUGUUUUCGAUAAUCGACCCAACAUAAAGGUGACGUGUUGUGUUAAUUAUUUGCAUAGUGUUAUAUCAAAGGGAAGUUGCCGACGAUAUUAUAACAACAAUAUACAUAAUUAAUAACAACAACCAAAAAUAAAAAAAAAAUACAGCAACAAACAUAAUAAUUAAAGCGCAUCAAAAAGAAGUUAAAUAUCACCCAUCAGGCGUUUAUAACACGCAUUAAGCCAUAUUAAGCGCUUUAAAGCUAUACGGCAACAACAGUGAGGAAAAGUGUGCGUACCAAAUUUGUUUUUACUACCUUAUUUACACACACACACACACCUGCGCAAGUAUGGCUCACGCCGUCGAAAUUGCCGGCAAACGGAAUGCCACAAAGCCAAUCACAGCAGCAGCAGCA
Long non-coding RNA from Bactrocera dorsalis (oriental fruit fly), 2988 nucleotides. RefSeq lists it as uncharacterized. The record is from RefSeq and is a predicted model, not a curated record. Lineage: Eukaryota; Metazoa; Arthropoda; Insecta; Diptera; Tephritidae. The transcript is spliced from 2 exons.